Molecule: unclassified non-coding RNA, 267 nt
Filed under: Hevea brasiliensis (rubber tree)
Lineage: Eukaryota; Viridiplantae; Streptophyta; Magnoliopsida; Malpighiales; Euphorbiaceae
Source: RNAcentral
GGAAGAUGCUACGAGUGAGAGUACAAUAUGUUAAUAAGACGUAAAAAGAAAUGAGGAAAAAAAAACUUUUGUUCCACUGUGCAAUUGGCAGCUAAGAUCUUUCUCAUCAAUGAAACAAGGAGAAUAUCAACUCAACACAGGAAACAAACUAACCUUUAUUGCAAAACAAGCAAAAGACUCUGCUGCUUUGUGACCAUUCAGUAGCAGUUUGCUUUUGAGGUAGCUGAAUCAAACUUUUGGGACAGAUCGCAGAAGGCUUCAAAGGAU